GAAAUGCGAUAAUUAAUGUGAAUUGCAGAAGUCAGUGAAUCAUCGAGUCUUUGAACGCACAUUGCGCCCCCUGGUAUUCCGGGGGGCAUGCCUGUCCGAGCGUCAUUGCUGCCCUCAAGCACGGCUUGUGUGUUGGGCUUCCGUCCCUGGCAACGGGGACGGGCCCAAAAGGCAGUGGCGGCACCAUGUCUGGUCCUCGAGCGUAUGGGGCUUUGUCACCCGCUCCCGUAGGUCCAGCUGGCAGCUAGCCUCGCAACCAAUCUUUUUAACCAGGUUGACCUCGGAUCAGGUAGGGAUACCCGCUGAACUUAAGC
This 314-nucleotide unclassified non-coding RNA is filed under the name plant metagenome. RNAcentral's name for it is "partial contains 5.8S ribosomal RNA, internal transcribed spacer 2, and large subunit ribosomal RNA". The stretch from base 1 to 105 matches the Rfam family "5.8S ribosomal RNA", at positions 50 to 154 of the family's 154-position model. The record is from RNAcentral.